AGCCCGGUCCACCACAGCCUUCAGCAGCGGCACUCGCAGACUCCGACCUCUCAGACCGAGUGAGCCCAGCUAAGCCGUUAGGCGCGCGCCUGAACCUCAGCGCUCCGAACUCUCAGACCGAGACAGCGGGCUGGGAAGCCAGGGGCCGCCGGGACCUGGGGCUGGAAACCACAUCUGCCCACAGCCGCAGCCUCCUGCACCUGUCAUCCUGGCGGCGCCCUGACGUCGGAGAAGCAGCAGGCGCGGAGCUCCUGCAGCGGGCACCGCUGCAGCAACCCGACCCGGCGUAGGCGGCAGUGGAAGGCGGCCUGCUAGCACGGCUCCCGCGGCCCCAGGACCAGGGGUGCGGCCAGCACCGCCCUCACUCCCCGCGUCUCGUGGAUAUUGCCCUCCCUGGAGGCGGCUGGACCUAAGCGAGGCUCGCAGCGAUCGGCCCCGCGAAGACUCGCAUGCAGGGCUCAGGAUCCCGCAUUCUGGCGCCGCGGCACCGCACCUUUCAGCAGCCCUGCUCCUCUUCUUGUUGGUAAACUUUUGUCACUCUGCCAUGAAAAGCAUCCAGGCGUCCUUGAUUUCGACAUUGCAUGCACGCUCAGCCGAGCUCAUCAGACGGGCGGUUGUCCCCAGAGCCCGCGGGUAGCUUGUUCCUGGGCGGCGGCUCCUCCUGGAUGCAGCUCCUUGUGGGCCUACCAGGCUUGGUGGAGCCAAGGCCCGCCGUGGCCGGCAGACCUGUGGAGAGGAAGAGUAAGGCGGGCUCUGCAGGGCAGUGGGCC
RNAcentral lists this non-coding RNA (770 nucleotides) under Pan troglodytes (chimpanzee). The record is from RNAcentral. Lineage: Eukaryota; Metazoa; Chordata; Mammalia; Primates; Hominidae.